AGCGAACGUUAGCGGCGCGCCUAACACAUGCAAGUCGCACGAGAAACGGAGCAAUCCGCGGUACAGUGGCGCACGGGUGAGUAACACGUGGAUGACCUUCCCUGGAGUGGUGGAUAACCUGCCGAAAGGCGGGCUAAUACAGCAUGGGACCACGACGCUUUGGCGAUGUGGUGAAAGCGGGCCUCUAUAUAUAAGCUCGCGCUCCGGGACGGGUCCGCGUCCCAUCAGCUAGUUGGUGAGGUAACGGCUCACCAAGGCUUCGACGGGUAGCUGGUCUGAGAGGAUGGCCAGCCACACUGGAACUGAGACACGGUCCAGACUCCUACGGGAGGCAGCAGUGGGGAAUCUUGCGCAAUGGGCGAAAGCCUGACGCAGCGACGCCGCGUGGGCGAAGAAGGCCUC
Molecule: ribosomal RNA, 402 nt
Filed under: uncultured bacterium
Lineage: Bacteria
Description: bacterial SSU rRNA
Rfam family: Bacterial small subunit ribosomal RNA
Source: RNAcentral